AUAUCUCUCUGUACGGGAAGGAUGAGAAGCUUCGACUAAGGUUCGAUUCGAGCGCAGCGAGAAAGCGUUGCCAACGGCAACGACCCGAAGGGCGAAGCGCGCAGCGCUGAGUCAUCCUUCCCCCACCACCA
RNAcentral lists this small RNA (131 nucleotides) under Salmonella enterica. RNAcentral describes it as "RtT sRNA". It matches the Rfam family "RtT RNA". Rfam says of the family: This family represents a bacterial cis-regulatory element known as RtT RNA. The exact function of RtT is unknown although it is thought that it may be involved in changing the cellular response in relation to amino acid starvation. RNAcentral also lists the same sequence under 1 other name. Lineage: Bacteria; Pseudomonadati; Pseudomonadota; Gammaproteobacteria; Enterobacterales; Enterobacteriaceae. The record is from RNAcentral.